Molecule: ribosomal RNA, 367 nt
Filed under: Clostridioides difficile
Lineage: Bacteria; Bacillati; Bacillota; Clostridia; Peptostreptococcales; Peptostreptococcaceae
Description: bacterial SSU rRNA
Rfam family: Bacterial small subunit ribosomal RNA
Source: RNAcentral
UAGAUACCCUGGUAGUCCACGCUGUAAACGAUGAGUACUAGGUGUCGGGGGUUACCCCCUUCGGUGCCGCAGCUAACGCAUUAAGUACUCCGCCUGGGAAGUACGCUCGCAAGAGGGAAACUCAAAGGAAUUGACGGGGACCCGAACAAGUAGCGGAGCAUGUGGUUUAAUUCGAAGCAACGCGAAGAACCUUACCUAAGCUUGACAUCCCAAUGACAUCUCCUUAAUCGGGGAGUUCCCUUCGGGGACAUUGGUGACAGGUGGUGCAUGGUUGUCGUCAGCUCGUGUCGUGAGAUGUUGGGUUAAGUCCCGCAACGAGCGCAACCCUUGUCUUUAGUUGCCAUCAUUAAGUUGGGCACUCUAGAGA